CUGAACUUUUUUUUUUUCAAUUUUAUUUUUAUCUGUGCUGGGUCUUCGUUGCUACAUGCAGGCUUUCUCUGGUUGCAGCGAGUAGGGUCUCUUCUCUACUUGCAGUGGCUUCUCUUGUUGUAGAGCACAAGAGGAUAAUUGCCUAGCUCUAGAGCUCAAAGGCUCUAGCUCUGCAGGCUCAGUAGAUGUGGCACACAGACUUAGCCCUGUGGCAUGUGGGAUCUUCCUGGACCAGGGAUGGAGGAAGACGCCCGUGUGUCCGGCAUUGGCAGACAGAUGCUUCAGCUGAACUUUUAAACUUGCAGCACACACAGGGAAGAAAUGCUGUUGGGGUCUGGUCUGCAUAUCUCAGAGGGAAGAGGAACGGAACAGUAGGUGACCUCGAGUACCAGAUGUUCAGCCAUGUCUGUAGCACUGUACGUACAAUAAGCAGAGGUGAGGGUAUUGAUGCCAAAUCUCCUUAUUGUCGGGGGAUACGAUGAAUUUUAAGUUUAUGUUUUAUUCAUUUUCCAAAUAUUGUGUUUUCUCAUAUGCGCUGCUUUAAAAAAAUCCAUAGGCACACCAGAAUUUAUUCCCUCCUUCCAAAGAAAUUUGUAAACUAGUAGCAAUAACUUUGACUAUCUGACAGUAUCUGAUAAAAAUGUGUUGUUCUUGAAGGUCAUUAGGUCAAAAUAUAGAUGGAAUCUGAUGCAGAGUUUUAGCAAUAAAAAUUCCAACAAAUUAUGACGAAAAUGUUUUAAGUAAGGUAGAGUGGGAAUUUUCCCAUGAUGCAAGGCCAGGCAAUUCAAAAAGUGACUCUAUCGUGACCCCUGUCUCAGGCUGCCUUCCUUCAGCAAAGUUAAUGUUCCAGGAAUCAACAGGACAAACCCAGGAGAUAUUAUUUCUCCAGAGACUGAACAAAGAUUUGGGAAUGAGAUGGGUUGAGGCCCAG
This 931-nucleotide long non-coding RNA is filed under the name Capra hircus (goat). Its description in RNAcentral is "lncRNA (ENSCHIG00010032270.1)". The record is from RNAcentral. Lineage: Eukaryota; Metazoa; Chordata; Mammalia; Artiodactyla; Bovidae.